RNAcentral lists this ribosomal RNA (301 nucleotides) under uncultured bacterium. RNAcentral describes it as "partial 16S ribosomal RNA". It matches the Rfam family "Bacterial small subunit ribosomal RNA", at positions 509 to 807 of the family's 1533-position model. The record is from RNAcentral.
CAGCCACCGCGGUAAUACGUAGGGUGCAAGCGUUAAUCGGAAUUACUGGGCGUAAAGCGUGCGCAGGCGGUUCGUUAAGACAGAUGUGAAAUCCCCGGGCUUAACCUGGGAAUGGCGCUUGUGACUGCAAGGCUAGAGUGCGUCAGAGGGGGGUAGAAUUCCACGUGUAGCAGUGAAAUGCGUAGAGAUGUGGAGGAAUACCGAUGGCGAAGGCAGCCCCCUGGGACGAGACUGACGCUCAUGCACGAAAGCGUGGGGAGCAAACAGGAUUAGAUACCCCCGUAGUCCCUGUCUCUUAUAC